GACGAACGCUGGCGGCGUGCUUAACACAUGCAAGUCGAGCGGUAAGGCCCUUUCGGGGGUACACGAGCGGCGAACGGGUGAGUAACACGUGGGUGACCUGCCCUCAGCUCUGGGAUAAGCCUGGGAAACCGGGUCUAAUACUGGAUAUGACUCCAUGACGCAUGUUGUGGGGUGGAAAGCCUUGUGCGGCUGAGGAUGGGCCCGCGGCCUAUCAGCUUGUUGGUGGGGUGANGGCCUACCAAGGCGACGACGGGUAGCCGGCCUGAGAGGGCGACCGGCCACACUGGGACUGAGACACGGCCCAGACUCCUACGGGAGGCAGCAGUGGGGAAUCUUGCGCAAUGGGCGAAAGCCUGACGCAGCGACGCCGCGUGAGGGAUGACG
This 384-nucleotide ribosomal RNA is filed under the name uncultured bacterium. Its description in RNAcentral is "bacterial SSU rRNA". It matches the Rfam family "Bacterial small subunit ribosomal RNA", at positions 28 to 413 of the family's 1533-position model. The record is from RNAcentral.